RNAcentral lists this unclassified non-coding RNA (192 nucleotides) under uncultured fungus. Its description in RNAcentral is "sequence contains ITS1". Lineage: Eukaryota; Fungi. The record is from RNAcentral.
UUAACUAUUAUAUAGUACUCAGACGACACUAACAUUCAGAGUUUGGGGUCCUCUGGCAGGCACGAUCCAGCCGGAGCCGGUGCCCGAGGGCGGCCUGCCAAAGCAACAAGAUAUAUUAUACAAGGGUGGGCGUUUCUACCCGUGAGGGCAGGGAACACUGUAAUGAUCCUUCCGCAGGUUCACCUACGGAAA